AUUGAGGUAUAGCAUAAAUAAUGUGCUUCGCUUACAUUGAAGAGAUAGCUAAUAGAUUGGCUUGCCUU
This 68-nucleotide transfer RNA is filed under the name Stomatella planulata. RNAcentral's name for it is "tRNA-Val". Lineage: Eukaryota; Metazoa; Mollusca; Gastropoda; Trochida; Trochidae. The record is from RNAcentral.